AAUCUCUUUAGAAUAAAUGGGCCAAUAUACCAAAAUGAACAUAUUGGAGGGGGGGACAUAUUGGAGCGGAGGAGGGGGGGAACAUAUUGGAGCGGAGGAGGGGGGGUGACAUAUUGGAGCGGAGGAGGGGGGGUGACAUAUUGGAGCGGAGGAGGGGGGGACAUAUUGGAGCGGAGGAGGGGGGGGACAUAUUGGAGCGGAGGAGGGGGGGACAUAUUGGAGCGGAGGAGGGGGGGAACAUAUUGGAGCGGAGGGGGGGAACAUAUUGGAGCGGAGGGGGGAACAUAUUGGAGCGGAGGGGGGGAACAUAUUGGAGCGGAGGGGGGGGGGGACAUAUUGGAGCGGAGGGGGGGGGACAUAUUGGAGCGGAGGGGGGGACAUAUUGGAGCGGAGGGGGGGGGGGACAUAUUGGAGCGGAGGGGGGGGAACAUAUUGGAGCGGAGGGGGGGGGGACAUAUUGGAGCGGAGGGGGGGGAACAUAUUGGAGCGGAGGGGGGGAACAUAUUGGAGCGGAGGGGGGGGGGGGGACAUAUUGGAGCGGAGGGGGGGGGACAUAUUGGAGCGGAGGGGGGACAUAUUGGAGCGGAGGGGGGGACAUAUUGGAGCGGAGGGGGGGACAUAUUGGAGGGGGGAACAUAUUGGAGCGGAGGGGGGGACAUAUUGGAGCGGAGGGGGGGACAUAUUGGAGCAGAGGGGGGGACAUAUUGGAGCGGAGGGGGGGGACAUAUUGGAGCGGAGGGGGGGGACAUAUUGGAGGGGGAGGGGGGGACAUAUUGGAGCGGAGGGGGGGACAUAUUGGAGGGGGGGGGAACAUAUUGGAGCGGAGGGGGGGACAUAUUGGAGGGGGGCACAUAUUGGAGCGGAGGGGGGGACAUAUUGGAGCGGAGGGGGGACAUAUUGGAGGGGGGAACAUAUUGGAGCGGAGGGGGGGGACAUAUUGGAGCGGAGGGGGGGGGGACAUAUUGGAGCGGAGGGGGGGGGACAUAUUUGGAGCGGAGGGGGGGACAUAUUGGAGCGGAGGGGGGGACAUAUUGGAGCGGAGGGGGGGGACAUAUUGGAGCGGAGGGGGGGAACAUAUUGGAGUGGAGGGGGGGACAUAUUGGAGGAGGGGGGGACAUAUUUGGGAGGGGAGGGGGGGACAUAUUGGAGCGGAGGGGGGGACAUAUUGGUGCGGAGGGGGGGGGGACAUAUUGGAGCGGAGGGGGGGGCCAUAUUGGAGCGGAGGGGGGGGACAUAUUGGAGCGGAGGGGGGGGACAUAUUGGAGCGGAGGGGGGGACAUAUUGGAGCGGAGGGGGGGACAUAUUGGAGCGGAGGGGGGAACAUAUUGGUGCGGAGGGGGGGGGGGGACAUAUUGGAGCGGGAGG
Long non-coding RNA from Oncorhynchus kisutch (coho salmon), 1365 nucleotides. The record is from Ensembl. NCBI's taxonomy places the organism in Eukaryota, Metazoa, Chordata, Actinopteri, Salmoniformes, Salmonidae.